UUGGUAGCAGUUCAGUGGCUAAGACAUUAGACUUCUGAUCAAAAUAUUGUGAGUUCAAAUCCUAUCCACUGCUAAG
Non-coding RNA from Pangasius djambal, 76 nucleotides. NCBI's taxonomy places the organism in Eukaryota, Metazoa, Chordata, Actinopteri, Siluriformes, Pangasiidae. The record is from the annotation of a GenBank genome assembly.